This 404-nucleotide ribosomal RNA is filed under the name Byrrhus derrei. RNAcentral describes it as "eukaryotic LSU rRNA". The stretch from base 1 to 90 matches the Rfam family "5.8S ribosomal RNA", at positions 66 to 154 of the family's 154-position model. The record is from RNAcentral. Lineage: Eukaryota; Metazoa; Arthropoda; Insecta; Coleoptera; Byrrhidae.
UGUGAACUGCAGGACACAUGAACAUCGACAUUUCGAACGCACAUUGCGGUCCUCGGAUACUGUUCCCGGACCACGUCUGGCUGAGGGUCGCGUCUGACUAUAAAAGACUGCUCGGUCCUCGUCUAACGAGGACGCGGAGCGAAUGUGGGAGUUCGCGGACGCCGUUACGACGGCGCCCGCGUCUCCUCAAAUAGCCCGCUCUCGUCGCGAGCGCGACGUGCCUCCCUAGGCCACAUACGUCAUGCGCAACCGUCGUGUCUUAAGAGUUUCGGACGCAGACGACGGUUGUGCGACGGGCCGCGCGGAGUACGCACGACGCACUCACACUCGCAUGCGAGCGAGGGGAUAUAGAAACACAGGCGACCUCAGAGCAGGCGAGAUUACCCCCUAAUUUUUAAGCAUUA